Long non-coding RNA from Oreochromis aureus, 329 nucleotides. RefSeq lists it as uncharacterized. The transcript is spliced from 3 exons. The record is from RefSeq and is a predicted model, not a curated record. NCBI's taxonomy places the organism in Eukaryota, Metazoa, Chordata, Actinopteri, Cichliformes, Cichlidae.
GCAGCCAAGAAGAGUGCCUGAGGAGCCCAUUUCCCCGCCCCGUUGAAUUGGAUAGGCGUGGAUGGAUUAGGUUUCAUUACUGCCCGGUGCCAUCCAGUGGUACAAGGCCCCCCUUUUCUUGGCAUACGCCGAAUCUGGCGAAGCUCUGUCUGAUGGAAAGUUAACCCCCACAGUCCAACCGGGCACACCAAAAGAACAAACCCAGAUUAUAAACUGGUGAUGAACUCUCUCCAUGCUGGGACACCUCAGAUUCCUGUCUGCUUCCCACAGACUGAACCUGGAAACACGUGAAAUAUCUACAACUCGUGGAAAAUCCCUCAUCGGGAAGU